Molecule: ribosomal RNA, 484 nt
Filed under: uncultured bacterium
Lineage: Bacteria
Description: partial 16S ribosomal RNA
Rfam family: Bacterial small subunit ribosomal RNA
Source: RNAcentral
AAUGAACGCUGGCGGCAGGCCUAACACAUGCAAGUCGAGCGGACGAAGGGAGCUUGCUCCUGGCUUCAGCGGCGGACGGGUGAGUAAUGCCUAGGAAUCUGCCUGGUCGAGGGGGCUAACGUACGGACACGGGACCUAAUAUAGCAUCCGUCCUGAUGGUGAAAGGGGGGGUUCAUCGGACCACAAGGUACUAGCUGUGCCUUGGUCGGAUUAGCUAGUUGGUGUGGUAAAGGCCUACCAAGGCGACGAUCCGUAACUGGUCUGAGAGGAUGAUCAGUCACACUGGAACUGAGACACGGUCCAGACUCCUACGGGAGGCAGCAGUGGGGAAUAUUGGACAAUGGGCGAAAGCCUGAUCCAGCCAUGCCGCGUGUGUGAAGAAGGUCUUCGGAUUGUAAAGCACUUUAAGUUGGGAGGAAGGGCAGUAAGUUAAUACCUUGCUGUUUUGACGUUACCAACAGAAUAAGCACCGGCUAACUUCGUG